This 465-nucleotide ribosomal RNA is filed under the name Vreelandella stevensii. RNAcentral describes it as "partial 16S ribosomal RNA". It matches the Rfam family "Bacterial small subunit ribosomal RNA", at positions 338 to 795 of the family's 1533-position model. Lineage: Bacteria; Pseudomonadati; Pseudomonadota; Gammaproteobacteria; Oceanospirillales; Halomonadaceae. The record is from RNAcentral.
CCUACGGGUGGCAGCAGUGGGGAAUAUUGGACAAUGGGCGAAAGCCUGAUCCAGCCAUGCCGCGUGUGUGAAGAAGGCCUUCGGGUUGUAAAGCACUUUCAGUGGGGAAGAAAGCCUUGGGGCUAAUACCCUCGAGGAAGGACAUCACCCACAGAAGAAGCACCGGCUAACUCCGUGCCAGCAGCCGCGGUAAUACGGAGGGUGCGAGCGUUAAUCGGAAUUACUGGGCGUAAAGCGCGCGUAGGCGGUCUGAUAAGCCGGUUGUGAAAGCCCCGGGCUCAACCUGGGAACGGCAUCCGGAACUGUCAGGCUAGAGUGCAGGAGAGGAAGGUAGAAUUCCCGGUGUAGCGGUGAAAUGCGUAGAGAUCGGGAGGAAUACCAGUGGCGAAGGCGGCCUUCUGGUCUGACACUGACGCUGAGGUGCGAAAGCGUGGGUAGCAAACAGGAUUAGAAACCCGUGUAGUC